CGGGGCGGCAGGAGCACAGGGCUCCAUCUGCCCACAGGAGAAAGGAGGGAGCAACUUCGCCUGCCCUUCCCUGGGGGAACACGGCUGGAGCUGUGGCUGUGAUGACUGGAGCUGUGGCUGUGGCUGUGACAGCUGGGUGGCAGGUCCAGGCGUCCCACCCAGGGUACUGUCCUCUGCAUCCAGUCCAGGCAACACAGAAUAAGCAUCAUGCUCCAGAGGAGGUAGCCUGCCUGUCCUUCAAAUCCCUCUCCUGAGGCCCAUCCUGCCCUUAUGCUUGUCUUAUCCCCAACCAGACAGGCUGCCCGUGCCACUCCGAUGCCCAGCACCCACCAGCAUAGCCACCUGGAGUUGUUUCCCCAAGCUGCAGGCCACUGUGUUAAGGGCCAGUCAGAGCUCAUUUGGACAGGAAGGUUUUCUACACAUUACAGCUCCCAAGCUGAAAGAAAGUUGUGAAAGCUGGACAGGCUGCAAAGGACCUUCAGUCAUCCCCCUUCCAGCCUGGCUUGAAUUCCCUGAGAUGGGGACUCACUGCUAAGCCACCUCCAUCACCACGGACGUGGACACAGGAGGAUAGACUCAUUCCAACGGAUGCCGGCCAGAUUCGUGUCCUGGGGCCGCCAAAACCAAGUCCCACAAACUGAAGCUUCAAACAACAGACACUGCUUCUCCCCAAGUUGUGGAGGCCAGAAGCCCGAGAUCCAGAAAAGGCACUGGGUACAGAGAUGACAAGGCGCUGGCCCUGCCUUCCAGGGGCCCCCAGCAUCAUGGGGAAGACACCCAGUGACUGGCCAACUCAUCUCUGCCUUUCCGCUGUCGGCUGCACAAGUGUGCACCUGCUGUGGCCCCUGGGAAGUCUUCUGUGCUAAAGUGGAAAGGCUUCCAGUGCCUUCACAAAGGCAUGAAUCUACUCACAGGGAUCCACUCCAUGAGGAAAACACCUUCCAUUAGGCCCCACCUCCAACACUCUGGGAUCAAAUUGCAACCUGAGGUUUGGAGGCCCAACCAUGCAGCUGCCAGCACUGCUCCUGGAUAUCACCAAGGAAUACGGGUCAUUGGAGCAUUCGCAGACAGUCUUCAAGCAUCCACUGUGUGCCAGGCUCGCGCACCGAGGCCAUGCCAGCGGGUGUCAUCAUGCCAGCUCUUCCCAGGCCUGGGCAGCUGAGACCUGUGCAUGCCAGGCCAAAGUCUCCAGCCCCAGAUGUGAACCUGGAAUGCCCCGGCCCACCUCCUCCUUCUUGGGGUCCCCAGAUUCGCUUCCCGAGGACCUCGAAGGGUUCACAUUCUCACCAUAAGCAGGCGCUCACACCGGGGGCAAGCAGAGGGACAGCAGCCCCCUAGAGGCAGGGCCCAAGGGUCCCAUGCACUUCACCCCUGCUGCAGGACCUGGCCUGGGCCUGUGACUUGGGAAUGCCACAUCAUAGAGGUUCUCUGGAAACAAGGAAUGCAGACCCCAUGACCACGUACCCCCACUCCCCAGAUGACCCACUGCAGCAGACCAAACAUGGGCAUCCAUCUCUGAGUGCCCCGCAGUGCAAGCAAAUGACGUGUCUGGCUGCCGACAAAGCGCAAUAAAGCCGGUGACCUCAGAUACAGAGUUUAUCCUCUCACCAUCCCGGAGGCCAGAAAUGCCAGACCAAGGUGCCUGUGUCUUCUAACAAGGACAUCAGCCAUUGGAUGAAGCCACCUUAAAUCCAGGAUGACUUCAUCGUAACUUACUGACAUCAGCAAAGACCCUAUUUCCAAAUACGGUCACAUUCACAGCUGCAGCUGGCUGGGCAGGCAACAGAAAAGCAGACUUCAGGAGCAAAAGGCGGAGGCCCCAGACCCCAGCUCUCCCAGAGCAGAAUGGAGCAGAAGGGACGGGCCGGUCCUUUAUCCCCUGGAGCCAGGCUUCCUGCCUCAGAAAUGCUUGGGGCUGCCCUCACACCACGCUGGGCAGCUUCAGGAGACACCGUGUGAUCACCUGGUGCUGGGGAACUCGCAGGCAUCAGCCCCUCCACUCCUCCCCAUUGGGGAAAGGGAGGAGAUGGGGCCCAAGGCAAGGGACCCAGGACAGGGCUUUGCAGGAGCACCCAAGCUUCAUGGGGCGAUUUCAUCAGUCACAUAGGAAUGCCAGCUGCGACGCCCACACACUGGAGACCCAGCAAACGAAGCAGGCCCGGACACUGGCAUGGAAUUCUGACACAUCAGGGUACAACCACCAAAUUGGAAAGGUCAUAAAAUAUUAAAGCUGUUGAUGGAGAGAAAAUAUUGAAGAUUUCAUCAGCAGUUUCUUGCCCUAUUUCAAUGAUAUUAACUUUUUAAUUAAAAUUGACGCUCAAGACUUUCCAACAGAGGGAAGUUUCACUUCUUAACCUAGAGGGAGCCGCA
RNAcentral lists this long non-coding RNA (2370 nucleotides) under Homo sapiens (human). Its description in RNAcentral is "HSALNT0068314". The record is from RNAcentral. Lineage: Eukaryota; Metazoa; Chordata; Mammalia; Primates; Hominidae.